GAUCCUGGCUCAGGAUGAACGCUAGCUACAGGCUUAACACAUGCAAGUCGAACGAAGAGCGAUGGAAGCUUGCUUCUAUCAAUCUUAGUGGCGAACGGGUGAGUAACGCGUAAUCAACCUGCCCUUCAGAGGGGGACAACAGUUGGAAACGACUGCUAAUACCGCAUACGAUCCAAUCCCGGCAUCGGGACUGGAUGAAAGGUGGCCUCUAUUUAUAAGCUAUCACUGAAGGAGGGGA
Molecule: ribosomal RNA, 238 nt
Filed under: uncultured bacterium
Lineage: Bacteria
Description: partial 16S ribosomal RNA
Rfam family: Bacterial small subunit ribosomal RNA
Source: RNAcentral